GCUUCUUUUUCACAUUAUUGUUGAAGAGCAGACGUUCUAGAAAAGACCCCUCCUCUCAUGAGCUCCCCCAUCCCUGCUACAGAAAACAGCGCCCAUAGCGCCUGCAGUGGGCUGACCCACCAAUUCCCACCGCGCCCCCUCCGCCCCGCCUGCAGUGGGCUGACCCACCAAUUCCCACCGCCCCCCUCCGCCCGCCAGGGCAAGGAGGAGGCCCUGGGCAUUGUCCUCCCACAAGGAAGAUCCUCUUUGUUCAAAGAACCAGUUUUCCUUGGCGGAAGAAGUCUCUUCCCCAUGUUAGUCCUAUGCCUUGAAAUAUCAUGCACCAUGACCCACAGCCAUCUGGUUAUGUCUUUUUUUUUUCCUAAAAGAUAAUGUUUAUUUUUAAAAAGGAAGGAAGGAGCAAGUGAAGUUUCAUCCUGCUCCAGCAGUGGGGAAGCCGCUGAAUCCACCUGCUUCUCCUUUGCAACCAACAGCAAACAGCUUCCUCUGGCCUCAGGGCAGAAAAAGGGAAUGGCAGGGAGUAAGAGGCGCUGGGCUUGGGGCCUGUUACCAAGAAGGAAUGGGUUGUCAUCUGGCAAUGUUGCGUGUCACAAGAGAGCCUGUAUAUAAAUUAAAAUAGUCAAGACAACACUGACCUUGCACUUGUACAUAACUAUACAGUAGUGUCCAGAAUGCUCAGACAUUCGGCGUGUACAUAAAACAGAAAAAAUCUUCAUGUAUUUUUAUUAAAUAUAACAAUGUCUGAGUUUCAUCUAAGAUGUUUUUGUGCCAUAUGCUGGGUAUCCAGGUUCCGAGAGUUCCUCUUGCCAGGCCCCAAUACAUGAAUAACCCAAGAAACACAUCCCCAUUGUGUGAUGUGUUCAGAUGCAUCUGGCACCAAUUAGGUAUUUCUUAAAACGGGACCCAUCUGUCAGAGUCAUAUGAAAAAUCAGGCAGGGAAUCAAAACGGCAGCGCUUGAGGAGACUCGGGAGGCAGAGGCAUCUCUGCUGCUGCCCUUGGCCCUGCAAGCACAUCAUGACCCUUUCUGGCAGCCUCUUGGUACUCUGGGUAGUGAGGGAUGAGCAGUCUUGUCCUGAGAAAUGUUUCUGUUAGUCUUAAGUUCAAAGACUACAACCUGUGGCAAUCAGACUUUCCAAAGGAGGGUUCUCCAUUUUUUGUAGUUUUGUCUAAAUUUUUAAUGACCAUUUCCUCGAAUCAGUUUAUUAUACUGAAAACUGGGAGUGAGAGAAGGGAGCUAGUUUGUUGAUAAAUAGUUCCCAUGUCCCCGUGGAGAAUUCGACAUACCCUGAACUCCUGUGUGCCUCCUGCCGUCCCUGCACAUAGCCUGGGGAUAAGCCUGCGCCUCCCUGUGUGGAGAGAAGGCAAUCCCAGAUCCCCUGAGCUAACCCGGAGAAAAGGCAGUUCUAGACAGAAGACUGUCAGCAGAAGGAAAGUACUGGACUACCCGUGGGUAAGGCCUGCCAUUCAAGACUGGAGACACCUGGGAAAUAAAAAGAGCAGGGCACUGCCGGUGGGAAGAGGCAUUUUACCUUCCAGUGCAAAUCCUGCUCCUUUGAUUUAAUGGGGUGUAUUGGGGCCAGGGGCUGAUUCACUUCCUUGGGAGAUGGUGGUGGUUUCAUGAACAUCUUUGAUCCUUCCAUUUCAUUUAUUCACCCAUGCAUUCAACAAGUAUUUGCUAAACACUAACCUAAGCUAAUGCUAGGGUAGUGACUUAGAUGUAAAAAUAGAUUUUAGAAUUAAAAUCCAAGGCCUCACACCCCUGUCAACCCAGGAGAUCUUUCCUUGUGGUGGUUUCUGUGAGAAUUGGCUAUCCCGAGGACAGAGCCAGGAUGGCAGAGGCCUCCUGUCCUCAGGGCAUGCCCUGCCUACCUUCUGAAAUGUUUACCCCAUUGACCAAACUUGGCUUCAGCCACUGCGGUGGUUUCUAGAUAGCCGGGCCCACCAAGAGACAUUGCCCCUUGAUGAGAGUCAAACACCCUGCCUACAAGGAGAUGUUUUGAAGUGGAGAGGAAAAUUGGCGCCUUCUCUUUUAAAGGCAAUAAUGGAAUUGACUUUCAGUAACUGAAUUUGUGCACAAAACAUUCUAAACACUAGUGAAGCCUGUUUCGUUGAACUAAUUCUGGCUCUGGAAAUGUUUUUGUUUUAUAGUUAUUUACGGUUUCGUUUGUUUGGAUUCAAGCUUAGUUUGUUAAUAUGUAUAAUUUAGCAUCUAUUACACUCAUGUAAAUAUGGAGUAAGUAUUGUAAACUAUUUCAUUGCUGGGGGUUGUGGGUGUUAUACAUACAUUUAGGACUGCAAUUUUUUGGUAUUUUUUGUAUUGUAAAAUAACAGCUAAUUUAAGCAGGAACAAGAGAACUAAGGGAGGUCUGUGCAUUUUAAACACAAAUGUGAAGAACUUGUAUAUAAACAAAAGUAAAUACUAUAAUACAAACUUCCUUCUGAAAUAAAAGUAGAUCUGGUA
This is a long non-coding RNA of Macaca fascicularis (crab-eating macaque), 2462 nucleotides long. NCBI's taxonomy places the organism in Eukaryota, Metazoa, Chordata, Mammalia, Primates, Cercopithecidae. The record is from Ensembl.